Molecule: unclassified non-coding RNA, 609 nt
Filed under: Hevea brasiliensis (rubber tree)
Lineage: Eukaryota; Viridiplantae; Streptophyta; Magnoliopsida; Malpighiales; Euphorbiaceae
Source: RNAcentral
AGAAGCAUUGCAGGCUUGGCAAAGGUUAACACAUCUGCAUGCUCACCAUUUUGUUUUCUCAUUUGUAGUGUUUCAUCUCUAUUGCAUAACUUAGUAAUGUGAUGUCGUCUUUGAGUGAGGAAUUUACAUAUGCCUUUUAUUAAUUUCUUGUUAUCAGUUUUUCUCUAGUACUCUACGAUACCCAAAAUGAAUUCUAAAAAGUUGACCCAUCUGAUGGCCUGUUUUAGACCAAUCUGACCUGAACUGCACUUAUUGGCACCUAUAUGUAGUCGAGUUCAAUAACUGUUUUUAAGCAACCUGAAAGAUGGCAAGCUGGUGUACUUUUCUCUGUUCUAAUUUUAUGGUGCAAAUAAAUAUCCUGUUGUAAUUUAUUCACAAGCAUGGUUAUUACAGUGAUUUUUUACCAGUAAUAUUUCAGAUUGUGUGAAUUGUUUUCAUAAAUUUAUUUAUUUCUCAGGGUUUUCUUUAUUGCUUAUAGUACUCUGGAUGGUUUUCCUACUAAUAUGUGAUUAUGCCCUGCUUUAUUUUCUUUUCCAGUGCACGACAAAGAAAAGCGGAGUUGAUAUUGAAGAAUUAAUUGGUUAUAGAAUAAAGGUUUGGUGGCCCAUG